UUGGGUUAAGUCCCGCAACGAGCGCAACCCUUGAUCUUAGUUGCCACCAAUUCGGUUGGGCACUCUAAGGUGACUGCCGGUGACAAACCGGAGGAAGGUGGGGAUGACGUCAAAUCAUCAUGCCCCUUAUGACCUGGGCUACACACGUACUACAAUGGUUGGUACAACGGGAAGCGAAAGAGCGAUCUGGAGCGAAUCCUAUAAAAGCCAAUCUCAGUUCGGAUUGCAGGCUGCAACUCGCCUGCAUGAAGUCGGAAUUGCUAGUAAUCGCGGAUCAGCAUGCCGCGGUGAAUACGUUCCCGGGUCUUGUACACACCGCCCGUCACACCACGAGAGUUUACAACACCCGAAGUCGGUGAGGUAACCGCAAGGAGCCAGCCGCCGAAGGUGGGGUAGAUGAUUGGGGUG
This 408-nucleotide ribosomal RNA is filed under the name Paenibacillus sp. LCSAOTU12. RNAcentral's name for it is "bacterial SSU rRNA". It matches the Rfam family "Bacterial small subunit ribosomal RNA", at positions 1075 to 1482 of the family's 1533-position model. The record is from RNAcentral. Lineage: Bacteria; Bacillati; Bacillota; Bacilli; Caryophanales; Paenibacillaceae.